Mus musculus (house mouse) is the source of this 3590-nucleotide long non-coding RNA. RefSeq annotates it as predicted gene 28863. The record is from RefSeq and is a predicted model, not a curated record. The transcript has 4 exons. NCBI's taxonomy places the organism in Eukaryota, Metazoa, Chordata, Mammalia, Rodentia, Muridae.
GCUAGACAGGUACAUGGCGUCACCUUAGCCUCCUAAUCUUAUAGUCCCUGUGCCCUGGGCCUUCAAGCUUAGAGGCUAGCAUUCCUCACUGGAUACAGAGGUGACUGAAAGCACGGAGGAAGGAAAGAGGGAGAGAAGGCUAGAUAGAAGUGAAGGCAGCAUGAAAAAAGGCUUGGGAAAGAGGAAGGAAGAGGAGAACUGGAAGGGGAGACGAACAAUGAAGGUCUCAGGCCCUCGGAGGCGCACGGUUCCGGCUGCACGUCCAUCCGCCCGCCUCCGGCCAGCAGCUGCUCGCCGCGCAGCGUGUGGGCGCUGAGUCACUGCCCCUGCACAGCAAGCCCGCGUGCAGGUCGGGGAAGGGGGGAGAAGACGAAGGGAGGGGAGCCCAGUUGGCAUCUGCAAACUGCUUUUUCCCCCCCUUUCUUUCCUCUUUCAUUAAGACUAUGUGCUGACUCCCACGUAGAAGAACUUAUUAAACCGCACGUACUACUCUACCGCUCUUUGGGGGAGCACGCAUGGUGGCCAGCAGGGGGCGCUACAGCCCCGCUUAUGGACGUCAGGGCCCAGUGAAGACUUGGGCUGCUAGCUGAGGGUUUCCCAGAGCUGCUGUGCGAACGUUUUGCGGGUCCCCCACCCCCGGUAGCUUUUAACACCCACAGUUGGAGCAUAAACUCUACUUAGAAAGCCUUGGAUAUCAGUUUAAGUCUCCAAAGAGCGCCUUAGCUCAGGUCCAGUGAGCAACCCUAUAAAAUUGGGAGUAUAUUGCGCAACUUAAGGAGCCCAGGCUCGCCUAUUAGGGCUCACCCUACCCUACCCGGUCUGGUUGCCAUGCAAGGAGGUGAACUCGGGUAUCUCAGAGAACUCUUGACUCCCUCCCAGGACACGCGCUUUGUGCAUCCACAUGGACACCAGAGCUCACAACAGGUAUUCAAAGUGAAGAAAGAAAGCACGGCCCAAACUCACUUCUUUCGGAACUGCGAAGGAGUAUCUGGCCCUGCAGUGUCCGCGCCUAGGAAAGCGAGUGAACCCAAUAACAUCAGGGUGAUGGAAACCAGCUUCAUUCUGUGGCGAUGCUCUGAUACCCUGGAAAGGAACAAGACACCGAGUGUGAGCAACCGGGCCAGCAGCACGAUCCCGUCAGCACGCGAAGGGUGGCGGCAGGACGGGGAGCCGCUUGGCAGCGCUCUUCCUGGCUCAGCUGCUUAUCUCCCCCACUGGCGCAGAGAAACACCGGAGAUUUUUGCGCUGGCCGGGUGGGUGACAAGCAAGGCAAAGGAAGCCAUUGAGAAGUGCCAGGCUUCCAGAGGUUUCCAACUAAAGUCCCAGGAUCUCAGCCCAAGGAGGAGGGGGGAUCUCAAGAGAGCUCCAGCUGUGCGCAUGAGCUAGACCUGGGCAAUGAGGUGUUCUCUACAUUGGAUACCCUAAAGUGGGUUGUUCCCCCUUGUCCAGCUCUGCAAGUUUUGGGGCUUUGGCAAAGCCGUCCCCCUCCCUAACAUGCUGGAGGCCAGCGGUUCCUACCUGAUAAAGGGGUGCGUUGUCAAGCACUUGAAGCAGAAAGAAGUCCUUCUGACAGUAGCAAAACCCCAAAGUCCAAGAUUGACUGCGAUGAGAAGCCGAGAAACCAGGAGCGGGAGCGGUAACGCUGGAGUUGCUCUGUCUAGUGUCACCAAGAAACCACUGACUAGUGAGCACCAGCUCCAGCGUCUUAUAAGCGCUCAGGGGCGGACGGUGGGCGUGGUCAGAUUUGCCCUGGAGUCCUCCCUCUCCAGCGUGCUUGCUUCUAAAACCAGACCUGCCCUGCAGCUUGCCUUUGACAAAUCCCAGCCAGAUCCCAAUCGCUUUUGAUCUCUACACUCCCGAGCUGGUGUUCUCUUGAAUUAAAGUGAAGUGCCGAAAGGGGCCAAACUGGGCGACAGGCGUAGCUCCGCAUGCAGGUCUCCCGGAAGGUCCCGAAGCUAAAGACAUGACCUACGACAGCUCCUAGCCCCCAGCCCUGGUGAUGUGGACACAGACAACUCAUGUCCUCUUCCUGGCGACCCCGGCAGAUCUCCCAGUGUCCUACCUUAUCUGCCUCUAAGUGUUAGACCAAGAGCAAAACCGACUAGGCAUUCCUGUCCCGCGGACCUUGCUCACAGCGCAGACUAUGCUAAGCACUGCUGGUUCAGCCCGUUUGUCACCCUCCAGACAACCAUGGACAUUGCACCUGGGGGAGAAAUGGCCGCGCCGAGAUUACUUAUCCUCCUAAAACUGCAAAACGGAGUUCCCCCUUGGGCAGGGGACAGAUUCCCAGGUUCUGCUUCUGGUAGGGGCUUGGGACACGGAUGUUGAAAGGGCUGCAGCUAGGCGAACUGGCCCGCCUUAGGGCCUUCUGGGCCGUGGGACAGUCACCGCAGCAGCCCUGGCCAGUGGCUAGCCUGUCUGCACCAAGCAGCACAUGUAGCACAGAACCCUAGAACUUGACCCUAGAACUUUUUCUCGCUUCUGUCCCGUUCUGUACCCUUCCUUUCAUUUCAUCCCCGGAUUGUCUGUUGAUACCGCGCAGCUGUCAGUCUCUUUGAAGAUGCAACAUACCUGUUGCCAACUUGUGGCCGGGGUCACAUCAGGUUUUACUUUCAUUUCCCUGGCCCAGUCUGUCCAAGUCAAGGGCAGCCCAGCAUUGGCCUGCAGACAGGGCAAGUCUCCUGAGCUGGACUCCUUGGCUCUAGUCUCUACCAGCCUUGGGGGUGGGGAGGUCUGUCUGAAGAAAAUCCUGCCGCCUGGGCUGGACCUCGUUGCCUCCUCGCUUCCUCUUUGAGGAAACUCAGUGACCUGAGGUUAGCUCUGGCUUGGGACACGAUCGCCAAAUAUGUUCUUAGCCGACACUUUAUUAUUAUUAUUAUUAUUAUUAUUAUUAUUAGGAUAGGGUCCCCUGUAGCCAGGCUGGCCUAAAACUAACUGGCUAGAAGAUGACCUUGAACUUUUGAUCUUUCUGUUCCACCUCUAAUCAACUGAGCUAUACCCCAAACCCCUCAAAAUUCUUUUUAAGCCAUAGGUGGCUUCAACAAGGAAGCAAACAGAACCCAAAGGCGGAAGGAGGGACUCCCUGGCUUUGGCUCUACCGAGCUCCUGUGUGUGCGCGCGCCAGUAUAGGGCGCUGUGCCAAGAAUCCCCACCUGAGCGCCUUGGCAUGCGCCUUAUCAGACUGGGUGCUCUUUGCCGUGGUGGCACUUAAGAGAUUGUUGCCUGAGAACCAAGCCAAUUCUUUUUUUAGGUGAGCUCUCAGACUGGCAACUCGGAGAACUUUGUUAGAAAAAUCUUAGAAAGCGUGUAUAUGAUUGUGGUUUGCGUGGGUGGGGAACCUCUGCCAAUGUGCUCCCCAAAGUGCUAAAGGGCGUAAGCAAGAAAUAGAUGAGGAAUUCACCAUGUCUGGGUAUGUACUUCACCCUUCCUGUGAAAAUGAGUGGCCUUGCUUAAUCACCAGGGCAGGAGGAAAGGAGAUCACUAGAACAAAUUUUGGGUUCAAGGUCUAGAAACAAGGCAUCAGGGGUUCUUUCCACGAUGCUUUUACGCCCAUUCAAGUUCAGUGACUGUAAAUUCACAUUGAGCAAGAA